CUCUUAUUGUUUGACACCUCUGAUCUUAUUAUGUAAUAGAAGAACUAUAAAGAUUUCCUGUCACAGAGGAAAGACAACUCUGGAGUAAGAAGGGAAUAUUUCAGACCAAGCAUAGCUUUGAGGUGGUCUUCUGAGCACACCUCACAGGAGAUACCCUAUCUCUCCUACACAUAUGACUGACCCUGCUAGAUACUAGGGGAAUUUACCCAGGCUGGUGGACCAUCUGUGACCUAGCUUUGAAUGCAGGGGUUCUCAGAUGUGGAGGUCCCUGUCCUGGAAGAGAGCCUCCUAGCCUCAAGCUAUGCUGGACUCGGGCAACUGAAAGACAGGAGGAGACAGCUGCCUACUGACACUGAAUUGACAUCCCCUCCUGUGAAACCAUCUGAUGCAGCCAAAUUGGAAAGCUAAUGACCCUCAUGGAGUACUUCCUACAUAAUGUGGGCCUCUCCUCUCAGCAUGCACAGACGCUCUGGGACAGGAUGAGGAGGAAAUUCAGGAAUAGA
This 503-nucleotide long non-coding RNA is filed under the name Monodelphis domestica (gray short-tailed opossum). Its description in RNAcentral is "lncRNA (ENSMODG00000043421.1)". Lineage: Eukaryota; Metazoa; Chordata; Mammalia; Didelphimorphia; Didelphidae. The record is from RNAcentral.